CGUAGGGACCAAGCGUUGUUCGGAUUUACUGGGCGUAAAGGGCGCGUAGGCGGCAAAUUAAGUCAGCUGUGAAAUCUCCGAGCUUAACUCGGAACGGUCAGCUGAUACUGAUCUGCUAGAGUGCGGAAGGGGCAAUCGGAAUUCUUGGUGUAGCGGUGAAAUGCGUAGAUAUCAAGAGGAACACCUGAGGUGAAGACGGGUUGCUGGGCCGACACUGACGCUGAGUGCGCGAAAGCCAGGGGAGCAAACGGGAUUAGAUACCCCGGUAGUCCUGGCCUUAAACGAUGAAUACUUGGUGUCUGGAGUCUCUAUAGCUCCGGGUGCCGUCGCUAACGUUUUUAGUAUUCCGCCUGGGGAGUACGCACGCAAGUGUG
RNAcentral lists this ribosomal RNA (374 nucleotides) under uncultured organism. RNAcentral describes it as "bacterial SSU rRNA". It matches the Rfam family "Bacterial small subunit ribosomal RNA", at positions 526 to 896 of the family's 1533-position model. The record is from RNAcentral.